This 225-nucleotide ribosomal RNA is filed under the name Streptococcus lutetiensis. Its description in RNAcentral is "partial 16S ribosomal RNA". It matches the Rfam family "Bacterial small subunit ribosomal RNA", at positions 215 to 439 of the family's 1533-position model. The record is from RNAcentral. Lineage: Bacteria; Bacillati; Bacillota; Bacilli; Lactobacillales; Streptococcaceae.
UCACUAGUAGAUGGACCUGCGUUGUAUUAGCUAGUUGGUGAGGUAACGGCUCNCCAAGGCGACGAUACAUAGCCGACCUGAGAGGGUGAUNGGCCNCNCUGGGACUGAGACNCGGCCCAGACUCCUACGGGAGGCAGCAGUAGGGAAUNUUNGGCAAUGGGGGCAACCNUGACCGAGCAACGCCGCGUGAGUGAAGAAGGUUUUCGGAUNGUAAANCUCUGUUGU